Pezoporus flaviventris is the source of this 1285-nucleotide long non-coding RNA. RefSeq lists it as uncharacterized. The transcript is spliced from 4 exons. The record is from RefSeq and is a predicted model, not a curated record. Lineage: Eukaryota; Metazoa; Chordata; Aves; Psittaciformes; Psittacidae.
AGAGUGUGCCUAUGGAGGUCUUGUUAGCAGAUGUGAAGUAAAGGGGGACACUCCCAGAUGUCCAGGACCCCUUCCUAUUGCCAAAGUCCUCAGGGCAACAACCCCUUCAGAGUGCAUGUGCAAAAUACUUUUGAGAAAUUAUUGACUUCUGACAGAGAAGCAACCAUCUUCAGAGCUUUUUGAUUGCAAUUGGCUGUGAUAUCCCUGCUCAUGCCCUGCUGAGUACCAUGUGUUUCUACAGCCCAUCUCACACACAGCAACUCUACUUUCAAGGUGAUGGCAAAUGUGCACUAUGAGAGAAAGUUGCUGUGUGGACAAGCUCUCUGGGGAUGAAGAAGUCCAAAGAAAAAGAGCCAUCAUGCUACUCCUCUUGCUGAGGGAUGCUCCUUGUCAUGACCUGAGUCCAGAGAGGGUGGCACGUAUCCUGGGGUGAUAACUAGGAUCAUGGACAGUGAUUUUGGCAGGAAAUGUCACCCACACAGGCAAACAAGGGGUAUGUAGAAGAGCUCAUGAAACAAAAAUCUAUAGGCUUGUCUAAUUUUAGGGAGAAAGACAGAGAACUGAUGCCAAGGAAACAUAUAAAUCACUUUAUAUAAUUUGUAACACUACUGAAAAAUCUGUUUGGGAUUUAUGUCACUGCAAAUGAAAUAUGCCAUUUGCAAGCUGCGUUUUAUAAUUUAUUAAGCAAGUUGAAAAUGUUCUUUAAAACAAGAUUUGUCAGCUUGUCAUCUAGUGGAGCAGAAGAAAUAGUUUGCGUAUGGAUCACAGAAAUUGGAUUUUCAUGGUGCUCCAUCCAUUUCAAAGGGCUUUAUUUUCUCUGAUGGUUGACAUAAGAUGGUACUUCAGAAGCAUUGCAUGUGCUCCAGAGGACCAUUUCUGCUUUUAAUUCAUUUGACUAUCCAUCCUGCAUUUUCCUCAAGUUAGCUGAACACCAUAUAUUCCAACAUCUCAAUCAGAAAGAACAGUUAUAUACACACAAGUUAAAUGUUUAGGGCUGAUGUGAUGUCCAUUUGAAAAGCUUUAAAUGGAGCAUUUGUAAUAUAACCUGCUUUGGACAUCACUCGCUACAGAACAACCGCAAUGGUGGAACCUGGUGGCUGGUGUGUGUGUGCCAGUCCCAGAUCCAAAUCCCAGUGAAGUGAUGACAAGAUUCCCCUGAGGUUCACUGAGAUUUGAAAGAGGACCUGAAGGAACAUGUCUAGCAACCUCUGCUUUAUAAAGCUUUCUUACAUGAACCAAAACAUUGCAAAAGUGCCUAGAGCAGGGACUAUCAUAAGGGCUGUAC